This 459-nucleotide ribosomal RNA is filed under the name uncultured bacterium. Its description in RNAcentral is "partial 16S ribosomal RNA". It matches the Rfam family "Bacterial small subunit ribosomal RNA", at positions 338 to 795 of the family's 1533-position model. The record is from RNAcentral.
CCUACGGGUGGCAGCAGUGAGGAAUAUUGGUCAAUGGGCGCGAGCCUGAACCAGCCAAGUAGCGUGAAGGAUGACUGCCCUACGGGUUGUAAACUUCUUUUAUAAAGGAAUAAGGUGAGGCACGUGUGACUCAUUGAGAGUACCCGAAGAAAAAGCAUCGGCUAACUCCGUGUCAGCAGCCGCGGUAAUACGGAGGAUGCGAGCGUAAUCCGGAUUGAUUGGGUUGAAAGGGUGCGCAGGCGGAGGUGCAAGUCAGCGGUCAAAUUGCGGGGCUCAACCCCGUACUGCCGUUGAAACUGCAGCCCUUGAGUGCGGGAGAAGUAUGCGGAAUGCGUGGUGUAGCGGUGAAAUGCAUAGAUAUCACGCAGAACUCCGAUUGCGAAGGCAGCAUACCGGCGCGCAACUGACGCUCAUGCACGAAAGCGUGGGUAUCGAGCAGGAUUAGAUACCCCGGUAGUC